RNAcentral lists this ribosomal RNA (529 nucleotides) under uncultured bacterium. RNAcentral describes it as "partial 16S ribosomal RNA". It matches the Rfam family "Bacterial small subunit ribosomal RNA", at positions 355 to 894 of the family's 1533-position model. The record is from RNAcentral.
UGGGGAAUAUUGCACAAUGGGCGAAAGCCUGAUGCAGCGACGCCGCGUGCGGGAUGAAGGCCUUCGGGUUGUAAACCGCUUUUAAUUGGGAGCAAGCGAGAGUGAGUGUACCUUUUGAAUAAGCACCGGCUAACUACGUGCCAGCAGCCGCGGUAAUACGUAGGGUGCAAGCGUUAUCCGGAAUUAUUGGGCGUAAAGAGCUCGUAGGCGGUUUGUCACGCCUGGUGUGAAAGUCCAUCGCUUAACGGUGGAUCUGCGCCGGGUACGGGCAGGCUAGAGUGCAGUAGGGGAGAUUGGAAUUCCCGGUGUAACGGUGGAAUGUGUAGAUAUCGGGAAGAACACCAAUGGCGAAGGCAGAUCUCUGGGCUGUUACUGACGCUGAGGAGCGAAAGCAUGGGGAGCGAACAGGAUUAGAUACCCUGGUAGUCCAUGCCGUAAACGGUGGAUGCUGGAUGUGGGACCCUUCCACGGGUUCCGUGUCGGAGCUAACGCGUUAAGCAUCCCCGCCUGGGGAGUACGGCCGCAAGGC